Molecule: ribosomal RNA, 264 nt
Filed under: uncultured bacterium
Lineage: Bacteria
Description: partial 16S ribosomal RNA
Rfam family: Bacterial small subunit ribosomal RNA
Source: RNAcentral
CGGGGUGAACUUGGCGCCGACGAGUGGCGGACGGGUGAGUAAUACUUAGGAAUCUGCCCAGUAGUGGGGGACAACACGACGAAAGUCAUGCUAAUACCGCAUACGCCCUAAGGGGGAAAGUGGAGGAUCUUCGGACUUCACGCUAUUGGAUGAGCCUAAGUCGGAUUAGCUUGUUGGUAGGGUAAUGGCCUACCAAGGCGACGAUCCGUAGCUGGUCUGAGAGGACGAUCAGCCACACUGGGACUGAGACACGGCCCAGACUCC